This 1105-nucleotide small RNA is filed under the name Pongo abelii (Sumatran orangutan). RNAcentral's name for it is "processed transcript". The record is from RNAcentral. Lineage: Eukaryota; Metazoa; Chordata; Mammalia; Primates; Hominidae.
CUCGCGUCCCGGUUGCCUGGAUACCGAGCGCGUCCGUAGUGGCGGCUGGCGCUCGGGAACUGCAGGGUCUGGGGUGGUGUUGGAGUGGCAGUUGGUCCUAAUUUCUCCCGAAGCCCGCGGAGGAGCGGGUAAGAGCCCCGCAAAGCCGGCCCCAACCUCGGGAACGGGAUGGGAGGCGGCCCUGGCCGCAAGCCCCGCGCUGCUAGCGGCUCCACCGCUCCCUAGCCGACAGCUGCCCUUCUUCCUCGCAGCGUGCCGCGAUUCACCAGCCUGGUCCCUUCUGCGGAGAGCGAUGCCGCUUCCCAACACCAUGUUCUGCGCUCAGCAGAUCCACAUUCCCCCGGAGCUGCCGGACAUCCUGAAGCAAUUCACCAAGGCUGCCAUCCGCACCCAGCCGGCCGACCUGCUGCAGUGGUCCGCGGGCUAUUUUUCAGCUUUGUCGAGAGGAGAUCCACUUCCUGUAAAGGACAGAAUGGAAAUGCCCACGGCAACGCGGAAAACAGACACAGGCCUGACUCAAGGACUCCUGAAAGUUUUGCACAAGCAGUGUCACCACAAGCGGUAUGUGGAAUUAACAGAUCUUGAGCAGAAGUGGAAGAACUUGUGCCUGCCGAAGGAAAAAUUCAAAGCGCUCUUACAACUGGAUCCUUGUGAAAACAAAAUCAAGUGGAUAAACUUUUUAGCACUUGGAUGCAGCAUGCUUGGCGGGUCCUUGAACACUGCGCUGAAGCACCUGUGCGAGAUCCUCACGGACGACCCGGAGGGCGGGCCCGCUCGCAUCCCCUUCAAGACGUUUUCCUACGUCUACCGCUACUUGGCCAGAUUAGACUCAGACGUGUCUCCCUUGGAGACAGACUCCUACCUUGCCUCUCUAAAGGAAAGUGUGGUCUUGUCCUGGCUGAGCACAACCAGAAUCUGGAGAGAAGAAAGCCUCAUGAUACACAGGUCAGCCAUACUGGGCUCAGAGCAUGGCAGAGCAAGGAGAGGCUAAAGGAAUGCCCUAGACCAAGAAGUCUGAAAUAUCCAGCACACGGCCAUUCAAUGAAGACACGGUGGGGUCCAGCACGUGACCAUUUGACCAUUUGGGUGAAGACGCGGUGGGGGA